CCUACGGGUGGCAGCAGUGAGGAAUAUUGGUCAAUGGCCGGAAGGCUGAACCAGCCAAGCCGCGUGAAGGACGGAGGUGCCAAGCAUUUUAAACUUCUUUUGUCAAGGGACAAAAUCAGGCUCGAGAGCCUGACCGAGGGUACUUGAAGAAAAAGCAUCGGCUAACUCCGUGCCAGCAGCCGCGGUAAUACGGAGGAUUCAAGCGUUAUCCCGAUUUCUUGGGUUUAAAGGGUGCGUAGGCGGUCGGAUAAGUUAGAGGUGAAAUCCCGAGGCUCAACUUCGGAAUUGCUGCUGAUACUGUGCGGCUAGAGAGUAGGUGCGGUAGGCGGAAUGUAUGGUGGAGAGGUGAAAUGCUUAGAGAUCAUACAGAACACCGAUGGCGAAGGCAGCUUACCAAGCUACUGCUGACGUUGAGGCACGAAAGCGUGGGGAGCAAACAGGAUUAGAUACCCUUGUAGUC
This 460-nucleotide ribosomal RNA is filed under the name uncultured bacterium. RNAcentral's name for it is "partial 16S ribosomal RNA". It matches the Rfam family "Bacterial small subunit ribosomal RNA", at positions 338 to 795 of the family's 1533-position model. The record is from RNAcentral.